GACGAACGCUGGCGGCGUGCUUAACACAUGCAAGUCGUACGGUAAGGCCCUUUCGGGGGUACACGAGUGGCGAACGGGUGAGUAACACGUGAGUAACCUGCCCACAACUUUGGGAUAACGCUAGGAAACUGGUGCUAAUACUGGAUAUGUGCUCCUGCUGCAUGGUGGGGGUUGGAAAGCUCCGGCGGUUGUGGAUGGACUCGCGGCCUAUCAGCUUGUUGGUGGGGUAGUGGCCUACCAAGGCGGCGACGGGUAGCCGGCCUGAGAGGGUGACCGGCCACAUUGGGACUGAGAUACAGCCCAGACUCCUACGGGAGGCAGCAGUGGGGAAUAUUGCACAAUGGGCGCAAGCCUGAUGCAGCAACGCCGCGUGCGGGAUGACGGCCUUCGGGUUGUAAACCGCUUUCAGCAGGGACGAAGCUUUUUGUGACGGUACCUGCAGAAGAAGCACCGGCUAACUACGU
This 464-nucleotide ribosomal RNA is filed under the name uncultured bacterium. RNAcentral's name for it is "partial 16S ribosomal RNA". It matches the Rfam family "Bacterial small subunit ribosomal RNA", at positions 28 to 506 of the family's 1533-position model. The record is from RNAcentral.